AGGACGAACGCUGGCGGCGUGCUUAACACAUGCAAGUCAAGGGGGCCCAGCAAUGGGCAACCGGCGAACGGGUGCGUAACACGUGAGCAACCUACCGAACUGUGGGGGAUAGCCGGCCUAACGGCCGAGUAAUACCGCAUACGCUCUCAGAGAGGCAUUUUCUUUGAGAGGAAACCUACGGGACAGAUCGAGAGGCUCGCGGCCUAUCAGCUAGUUGGCGAGUACGGCUCACCAAGGCAACGACGGGUA
RNAcentral lists this ribosomal RNA (249 nucleotides) under uncultured soil bacterium. Its description in RNAcentral is "partial 16S ribosomal RNA". It matches the Rfam family "Bacterial small subunit ribosomal RNA", at positions 26 to 285 of the family's 1533-position model. The record is from RNAcentral.